Molecule: ribosomal RNA, 253 nt
Filed under: uncultured bacterium
Lineage: Bacteria
Description: partial 16S ribosomal RNA
Rfam family: Bacterial small subunit ribosomal RNA
Source: RNAcentral
UACGAAGGGGGCUAGCGUUGCUCGGAAUCACUGGGCGUAAAGCGCACGUAGGCGGAUUGCUAAGUCAGGGGUGAAAUCCUGGAGCUCAACUCCAGAACUGCCUUUGAUACUGGCGGUCUCGAGUCCGGGAGAGGUGAGUGGAACUGCGAGUGUAGAGGUGAAAUUCGUAGAUAUUCGCAAGAACACCAGUGGCGAAGGCGGCUCACUGGCCCGGUACUGACGCUGAGGCGCGAAAGCGUGGGGAGCGAACGGG